UCACUAUCAUGAGAACAGCACAGGGAAGACCUGCCCCAUGAUUCAGUUACCUCCCACCAGGUCCCUCCCAGAACACAAGUAGAAUUCAAGUUGAGAUUUGGGUGGGGACACAGCCAAAGCAUAUCAGGGCUGUAACAAAUAAAGCUGCUAUGAACAUCUUUCUAGAGGUCUUUUUGUGGUCACAUGCUUUUAUUUCUCUGAAGUACUUUGCAGUAGAGUGGCUGGAUCAUAUGGUAGGUAGGAAUAUGUUUAGCCUUUUAAGAAACUGCUCUGUAUUCUAAAGUUGCACUAUUUUACAUUCACACUAACAGUAAUUCUAGUCUGUGCUACUCCAUCUUGACCAUAAAAGUAGUUUUAAUCGUUUUUUAUUCUUUGCUGUUGUGAAAGCUUCCUUGAAACAUAGAGAAAAUUAAAUUUUUAAUAAAAAUAACUUUUUAAAAGGCUUUCUAAAUUCUGAUAUUUGCUGAAACUGUUUUCUUGUACUUAUACAGCAUUCAUAGGAUUUUAACCAAAUAUGCCCAAUAAUUUCAACAUUAGAUAAUUUUAUUUACUGAGAAAGGAAGAUAAAGUUGAUUUCAAUGACAUUUCUUCAUUUUAUGAAAUCUAUGUUAUCUACAGGGAGAGUACAAAGAUUAGAAUUCCUAUAUUUUGCUUUUUAUGUUUAAAUAGUCAGAAAAUGUUGAAGCAGACAACAAAUAUCUACUCCAGGGAAAUAUCUAGAGGUUUUGGAGUGUGAUGAACUCUCUCUGGAAACCUUACCUUUCAAGAAUUCCAAGAAAUUUGAAACAUAAUGUAAUCUAGCAGAAAUUUCUUCUUUGAGCAAUGAGGCCUGUCACUAAGCCAUGGCAGUAGGAAAGAGGAGCUGGAAAGGAACAUUGAUGAGGGCAGUUGCAUUUGGUGAUUUCCCAAGAGGAGACAAACACCAAUCUACUGAAGGACUUUGGCUGCCAGCAGCUGUUCUUGACAAUCUGAACAUCUGGUUUUGUAAACUACUUGUAACCAAAACUUCACAAACUGAGAUUCAUCCUCAAGAGCACAACUGGCAUUUAAAGAGCUUUUAGUAAAAACUUAUUUUAAGGUCAAAGAAUAAAGCAGAAUCAAAAAGGUAUAUUGACUCUGCCUGGAGGAAAAUAAGAAGUAGAUUUAACUUUUCUACAUAUGAUGUUCAUUAUUUUAAUUUUGACACUCUACAUUUCCCAAAUUAGAUUCCAUACAGCAGUAGUUAUGUGAUAUGACCAAUAUUGAAAAUGUUUUGUUCCACUAACAACUAUUUUUAUAUUAGCUAGGUGUUGUGGUGUACUUCUGUGGCCCAGCUACUUGAGAGGCUGAGGCAGAUCACUGGAUCCCAGGAGGUUGAGGCUGCAGUGAACUGUGAUUGUAUGUGAUUGCACCACUACAUUCCAGCCCGAGCAAAAGGACAAUGCCCUGUCUCUGAAAAAAAUAAAAAUAAACUAACAAAAAACAAAUUAAGAAAAGAAAAAUAUUUUAUGUUGCAGUUCUCCUCUAGGAGCAUCAAAAUAGCCAUUAAUACAGUAAAGUCACUGAGACUUUUUUCAUUUUUGUUUAGCUGGAUUUAAAAGUAUGUUCACUAUUACUACUUGCUGUGGAGAAAUUAUUUUGACAAUGAAACUAUUUUUCUCGCCUUGAUAUCUGUUGUAUUGGUUUUCUGGGCCGUAACAAAAUACCACAAAAUAGUGGCUUUGAACAACAGAAAUAUAUUGUCUCACGGUUCUGAAGCCUAGAAAUCUGAAAUCAAGGUAUGGACUGGGCCAUGUUCCUUCUGAAACUUGUAGAGAAAGGAUCCAUCCUUGCCUCUUCCUGCUUUUGGUAGCCCAGAUGUUCCUUGGUUGGUGGCAGCAUAAUUCUAAUGUUUGUCUCUUUUUUCAUAUGUGUUCAGAUUCCUUUUCUUAAAAAAAAUGACAUCAGUUGUGUUGGAUAAUGGCUCAUCCUAAUGCCCUCAUUUUUGCCUGAUUAUAUUGAUGAAUAACUUAUUUCCAAACAAAGUCAUAUUCUGGGUUACCAGAAUAUAGGGCUAUAAGAGGUAUAUUUUUGUGUGGGGCACAAUUUAACUUGUAAUGUCUGUUAACAUGUUCUCUGAGGAUCAUAAUUUGGAAUAUACUAUGCUACAUAAUCACUACUCUUAUCUAUUGCAGUGGAAAGGUGGGUGUUGUAUGUAUGAUUUUUAAAUUGUGCAAAACAUACAGAAACUUCAGAGCUAAAGAAAAAUAUAUAAAGUUAACAAUUAUUCCAUAACCAUAAUUUAUGUAAUCUAUCCCUAUUAAUGAGUACUAAACUGCCAGUAGCAUUAAUAAAAAUGACUCAGAAUUCAUAAUCUGCUGACAAAUGAUGAGUAAUGUCAUUAUAAAAUGUUAAAAAGUACAUAUCUUAAUACUAUUACUGCAAAGACAAAGUUGAGAAUGUCAGCCAUAACACUUGAGAAUGUACAUCAUACAUGCUUUUUGUUUAUCUGGAAUCAAAGCCUCUAUUUAAUUAUAGGAGAAUUUAAAAUAUAAUAUUCAUCUAAUUUCUGCUUUAUAUUUCAAGUUAGUUAAAACCAAUUAUUUAGGGGCCAUUUUAAAUACAUUAAUUUACACAUAUAUUUAUCACUGUAAAUAUAUUCUUCAGGUUAAUCAGUUAAUCAACACCAACCUGAAUCAGUGGUAAUAUUGUGAAUUUAUUUUGGUAUUAGCCACAAGACACAUGCAUAUAUAUUUAUGUAAAAGUAUAUAUUUUUGUUCCAAAGUAAAUAUGUGAAAUCAAAAUACACUGCAUUUAACACCCUACUGAUCAUCUGGAGACAUAAAAACA
Molecule: long non-coding RNA, 2808 nt
Filed under: Cebus imitator (Panamanian white-faced capuchin)
Lineage: Eukaryota; Metazoa; Chordata; Mammalia; Primates; Cebidae
Description: lncRNA (ENSCCAG00000038275.1)
Source: RNAcentral